This is a long non-coding RNA of Triticum dicoccoides, 2213 nucleotides long. RefSeq lists it as uncharacterized. NCBI's taxonomy places the organism in Eukaryota, Viridiplantae, Streptophyta, Magnoliopsida, Poales, Poaceae. The transcript is spliced from 2 exons. The record is from RefSeq and is a predicted model, not a curated record.
CCAGAAACAUGAGCGCUUUUCUGAAGGGUCAAUCUGAACUGACCUCGAAGUUGCCGAUCCAAAUUAUCUCAACUGACCUUUUACGACCUCGAACUGACAUUUUACGCUAUACAUGGUGGACCUUCAGUUUGAUACAAGGUUUGUCAUACCCGUAAUUUUGUACCCUUGCACCCCAAGAAUGAAAAUAGGGAAAUUCUCACGAGCCAACAACCAUCUACUUACGCAACACAGGCUAAGUGAUCGUGAUAACUUUUAGUAACUCUGCAUAUUUAUUUUAUCUUACCAUACUGUGUCCAUAGUCUUGUGGUCCUAAGAAGGCGAGUUGCUUGUUCUACUCUAUCCAUUUCCUGUUGGUUACCAUGAGUAGUUCUGUAUGUAUAUACCAUUGAAAGACUUGAUUCCUUUCUGUUUAACUUGUUAGUCUUCGUAAUUUAUUUGUAUUUUAGUUACUGGAGCUUGUCCAGAUGUUGCUGCUGCAUCAUACUAACCUCUCGUGGAAAGUUGGAUUCGUCUAUGAGGAUUACUGGAGGCAGAUCUUCAUAUCUAAUGAAGUUGCAGACAAGUUAUGAUUGUCAAUGCCAUUUUCGAUCUUGAGAAACGUUGCUAGUGUCUUGAUAUAUACCAAAACCUGAAUUGAAGAAUUAAAUUGUUCAUGUUGAUAUAUUCUGUAAGGUGCAGGCGUUGUGUCGAGGAAGCCUGGUUAGUUAGGCAAUUUCAGCUUGCCGAUUGCCUGAUUAAAUUGCAUUAUGUAAGAUUAGAGAAUCCAGCGUACGGUUUUUUCAUAGCUUAAAAUGCUAUGAAGACCGACUUAUUAUGAACUGUGAUCCAAUUUAUUGAAUACUCCCUCCGUCCGGAAAUACUUGUCGCAUAAAUGGAUGAAAAUGGAUGUAUCUAGAAUUAAAAGUACAUCUAGAUACAUUCAUUUCAAUGACAAGUAUUUUCGGACGGAGGGAGUAUUUUUUUACAGUUCUUUGGAAUUCUUAUUUUUAUGCUUAACAAGAAUAUGCUGAAUGUCGUUCUAAUUUAUCUUUAGUAAGCAGGCAAAUUCAAAUUGGCUGAAUGUUGUUUCAAGUUAGAUUGGAUUGGAGAAUCUGCAUGGCUGGCUUAUUCAAAGUGGGUUUGUCAUUCAAAUUCAAUUGGAUUGGAGAAUCUUGGGGCUGUGCUUGAGUCUGAAAUAGCUUUGAGCUGAAUAUUUUUCAAUUUAGAAGAUAAAAGAUGAAUAAAUGGUUGAUCUUCAGCUCUGAACUGGAAAGAGCAUUCCAGCAAACAAAUUGCUGGGAAUGAUGGUUCGACUCCAUCAAGAUCCUUCGUAAAAAGAAAUGGGAUGUAAAUUUGAUCACUCGCCAUUCUAUCCUCAUGGUGCCGAAGAAAUUCUAGACGUGUGUAUUCAAGGAUCGGUGGACAAUGACUUUUAUUGCAUGGCACUAUCUGUUCUCCGUAAAAAGGGCGCAUAAUCUGGCCUUGAAGCGUAAGGAGCACAAGGAGGAUUGUCGGCAAUCAAGUAGAGGCGUGAAUGGGGAUAGGGAGUUUUGGAAUGUCAUAUAGAAGGCCAAUGUCUUUUAGAAGAUCAGAAUUUUGUUUGGCAUGCGACAUCUAAUAACCUGGCGAUCCAGGUGAAUAGAGUUAUGCACCAUCUGGCUGCUCCGGGUAUGUACUCUAUAUUUGUGGGGUGGAAGAUGAAAGCAUGUCCCAUGCUCUGAUGGCUUGCCCCGAGGAGAGCUCUACGCAUGGAGUUGAAGGAAGUUUGGAAUAUUCUGGGGAGUGAAAUCUUCAACUUCUCAAGUCUCGAUUGGAUGCUUCUCUUGUUGGAUCAGUUAACCUCAACAUACCUUAUUCAUAUUCUAGGGAGCUUGGCACUUAAGAAAUGAUCUAAUUGUUUGAUAAGGGUAACCAUUUUGUUUCAAACUUUGCUAAUCUUGUGGAUAACUAGUGGUUGUCGUUCUUGUCUUACCAUUCCAAUGUAGAGUCGGUCCCAGUGUCAAAGUUAAAGUAGUAGUGGAUGGGAUAAGUACACCUCGUAGUAUUCAUGAGGUAUGACAACCUCCACCUUUGGAUUGUAAUAAGAUAAAUGUGGAUGCUAAUUUUGUGGAAUCGGUCCCCAGCGUCGAAGGUAUAGUAGUGGAUGGGAUAAGUACUCCUUGUAGUAUUCAUGAGGUAUGAUAACCUCCGCCUUUGGAUUGUAUUAAGAUAAAUGUGGAUGCUAAUUUUGUUGA